GCGAACCUCUACUGAUUGUUUCAGUGUCUUGGUCAACCGCUUUUAACAGCGAAACAUUAAAGCCACUGCAAGAAUAAACAGGAAGCUGGUGUUUAGGUGGGAGUUCCUAGGAAUUUUAUACCACUGACCACAGAGGCCAAAAGAGAAAGGAAAUAGGAAAAACAGUGUAAAUACCUGGGUGACUAAUGACUUUGCACAGCUCAGCUGGCUUUUCUGAACAUUUCAUGGGACGUCUCUCCAGGGGAAACAACCUGAAAAUGUUUCAGGACUCCGGGUGGCAUUGAAGGGCCAGAGAGGGGUGUUUAGUGCACGCUGUUGGCUGGCUGGUUUUGUGGGUUUUGUUCACCGUCUACCGGGCAGAGAGCCUUUCUGCCGAUGUCGCCAGAUGCCUCUCUCCAAGCGAAAUGACCCAUUUGCAUGCGUGGUGCAGACAUUUUCCGGAGCUCCAGGGCUCCCAGGCCUCCCCAGGCCUCCGAUUGUAAAGGAUCGUAGGGCCACCCCUUUCCUUGUUCACAUGGACAGCGCCUAAGAGGAUUUAGAAUCAAGUGGGCACAUUUGCACUGCCUUGUUCUGAAGAGGCAGCUGGAGCGCGGACUGGCCUGGCGCAACCCACCGCGGGUCCCGGGGGACCGCAUUGUCUCGGAGGGGCCGCCACAGGGGCUCCAUUGUGAGCGGGGCCGGCCUUUUUCUCCUGCCCUCUGUCUCCCCGGGCCUCCCCUCAUCCCCCCCACCCCCCCUCCACGCAGACUUUUCUCUCAAGCUGCCGGCACCCCCGGCUGCCGCAUUUCCAAUGCAGGGGAGCGGCGAGGCUCCGGGCUGGCCAUCUGCACGCGGAGAUUGACAGCAGUCCCGGAAGAUGGACAGCCCUGAAACAUCUUUCAUGCAACUCCUCAGGCAGCCCAGAAACAGCCAGGAACCAUUCGCCAGGAGCUGUGGCCAACUUAAUAACUCAUCCUUGUAUUGGUUUCCAUCCUCUGUCCUUCAUCCGUCUUGUCUUUUACUCCUACUUGCUGGAUCACACAUCCCAAUAAAUUUUUGCACUCAAGCGUUUGUCUCAGGAUCUGCUGUCCGGAGGACCAAGACUAAGUUCAAGUCAUAUUUUUUUUUUUUUGAGAUGGAAUCUCACUCUGUUGCCCAGGCUGGAGUGCAGCGGCAUGAUUUUGAUUCACUGCAACGUCCACCUCCCGGGUUCAAGUGAUUGUCCUGCCUCAGCCUCAUGAGUAGCUGGGAUUACAGGUGCACGCCACCACACCUGGCUAAUUUUUGUAUUUUUAGUAGAGACAGGGUUUCACCAUGU
This 1297-nucleotide long non-coding RNA is filed under the name Homo sapiens (human). RNAcentral's name for it is "HSALNT0160871". The record is from RNAcentral. Lineage: Eukaryota; Metazoa; Chordata; Mammalia; Primates; Hominidae.